RNAcentral lists this long non-coding RNA (5374 nucleotides) under Sus scrofa (pig). Its description in RNAcentral is "lncRNA (ENSSSCG00050031737.1)". Lineage: Eukaryota; Metazoa; Chordata; Mammalia; Artiodactyla; Suidae. The record is from RNAcentral.
AUUGAUAUAUAGUGAUCUUUCACAGGUAGGCUCACCAAUUUAUCCUGUUGCUUGAUUUCUUUGCUUUGAUUAUUAGUUCACUGUUAAUGUCUCUAUGAGGCUGGUGCAAGCCAUCUACUCUGGAUCUUUGGCUAGAUCAAAACGGAAGAGUCUGAAUGGACAUAGCUGAGUAACAAAUCCAAGUCUAGAUGAAGGCUAACUAGAAUGAGAACUGGCCAGGGACAGGAGCUCGGGUCAUGCAGGGGCAGUCUAGAGUAUUCUCCUUACUUUACAAAUACCAGCAGUCUUUGUUAAGGUCUGGGAAUGAUCUCUUCAAACUCUGAUCAAAGUGUCCACCUGCUCUUUCACUGUAUGUUUUAUAAUUCAAAAGUCAUACUGGGGAGUUGGAUACUCUCUCAAUCAGCCCCAUUCCCAAAAGGUAUAGAGAGCAAUUAAAAGAACACUUGGAGGCCUGUGAAAAUAUUAAUGCUUUCCAGGGUAUGAGUAAUUAUUUUUGCUUAGCUUAUCUGUGAUUUUGCAUAGUCCCAGUUAUAAAAGGUUUUUUUUUUUUUUUUUAAUUACAGAGAAGAGGGCUCUCUUUAUUGAAACAUGGCAAGAAAAGUGGGAGAAGCUAGUGACAAUGACUUGGAAGAUUAUGGACAGCUCUUUGUUAAAUUAUGGAAACGAACACACACAUGACACACACAUCAAAUAAAUAUACACAGUGAAAAUACAAGUGAUUCUAGCAGAAUCCAUUAGCUAUUUAUUUUAUUCCUUUAAAACAGUGUCUUGCAAUCCAAUAACAUACUGUGAAACUAGGUAAGGGAGCUGUUUUUUGUCACUCAGUGUGUCAUGGUAUAAUUUUACCUAUCAUUAUUUCAGCUGAAGGUGGCAUUUAGGAGUUCAUUAGUGAUUAAUAGAGCCCUCCAUUGCUCAGAGAUGAUAUUAGAUAUUUAAAGAAAGCAUUUAGUUUAGAUUGACAGUUUUUCUCCCCUUAGGAUGUCUCUAAAACAAACAAACUAAAAAGUUAUGGUGAAUUCUAUUAAGAAAUGUAUAUUUCAUGUAAAUUUGCCAUAAACUGUAAGCAGCCAUGACAAUAAGUCAUAGCUCUCUCUCUCCCUCUUCCAGCAAGCUUCAUUUCCCUAUCAAAAGAGAGCAGAGCUUGCAAGGUCUAAGUAGAAGACUCCUACCAUUUUUCAGCACCAUCACUGUCUUUUUAUGUUUUGUUCAUAAUGGCAACUGUCUGGCUUGAUACAUUGGUUCUGAUGCUUUCACCUGCUUGUUGUCAUUCAGGUGCUAAGUGAAGAGGAUGAAUAUGUAUAAUUCUUUCAAGACUGCGUUAGAAUGACCCAUCUUGGCAUAUUUUAUGACAUAUCCCACCAGACCCUGAUUAUUUUGUGAAGUUGGCAUUCCAGUUAUACUGGUUGGCUUUUGAUAGCUUUUGCCAACUUCCUCUGAGCAUAUGAUUAAUCAGUACAAUAAAAUGGGACAUUCUAAAAUGCGGGAUUGAUGCAUGGGUAAGGAUUUUAAAACUUUCAUUCCUUUAUCCGUCAUUUGAGACAGUUUUAGUGGCUCGUUACCGGAAAGUAUUUUAGGAAAUCUUCCCCUAUUUGAUCACUGUUGCCAGUAUUGUAUAGCCUCUCUGGGGAGAAACGAAUCUUUUGAUUUUGAUAAAGUUUCUUUCUUCCAGAAUGAGGAUGAAUUGUUUUAUUCUUUGGAUCGUUGUCAGGUGCCUUUUGAUAGGUAAUAGAGAGAAACCAAUAGUAGCUGGGGAGUCCUAUGCCAAAUUAGUUUAAAAGCCUUCUUGAGAAUGAAGUGUGGAAUUAAAACUGGAGAAGACUAUGCUAUGUAUGUCUGCAGCAGGCUACCAGGGAAAAUAUAUUGAAAGUUAGAAAUCUGCAAUUUCUUUUUCACUCAUUUCAUAAAUUUUUUGUGAGUCCUAUAUGUCAGGGACUAUGAUAGAAAUGAUGAUACAAAGCCAAUAGAGAGUCCCUGUUCUUAAGGCACUCAUAGUUUACUUGUGGAGAAAGAUAUAUGAAUAUUUGGAAAAUGCACAUUCUGCCUCAUAGCAUCAAAUUAAACACAAUCUUUCUGAGCUUCAGGAGUGGAAGAAGAGUGUUCAUAGCAAUCAACUGAGGAUCAUUCAAACCUUAAAACUCUGGUUUCAGUAAAUGCCUUAGCAAGGAUUAUGGCUUCGUAUUGAUGAUCCUAAACCAAGAAUCGGCAAAUGCAGCUCAGACCAGCUCAUAUAGGAAGAAAAACAUGUAUGUAUUAUAGAAAAGAAGAUUCAGGUUGGACUGCUGUUUUCUCAGGCACAUCUUUUUUAAAGUUGUCAUCAUUUCCCUACUGUGAAAAAUUUGGGGUUUCAUUUAAGGGUGCACUAUGUAUCUUUCAAAUCUAGUUUCCUUAAGAAUGUCUACUGGAGUCUACAUUUUUCUUUAAGAUUGAUAUUUAGCCAUUUUUAGAAAAUUAUUUUUGGCACCUUUGUGCAGUGCCAAGUUAAAGAAUCCUUUAGCUAUCAUAUAUACAUAUUGGGACCUGAAGAACCACCUUAACUGCUAAGAUGAAAAUUCUGGUUCCCUGUAGCACUUUUGCAGAAUCCCAUCUCACCUGGAGAAGGCCACAUAUUGCUAAGACAGGGGCAGAACUACUGUGAGUUUCCAUUCUGAAUAAGGCCUUUUGGAGAGAAAUGAAAGAGGACCCAAGGAGUACAAGAAAUGAUAGAAGAGUCACAAGUUUCUGGAGUUUUAGGACAGUUUAUUGUAUUUUGCUACUUCUCAGCAGAAGUAGCAAUAUUGAUUCACCAAAACAGUGUUUUAUGUCUCUUCCAAGAUCUCUUUAGGUUCGUCUUCAUUCCUACUAUUGGCAACAAAAAGGGGUUAUUAUGUUUGGUGAAAUUCUUAGCUCCUUAUAAUUUCCAUCUGUGUUUCCAGAGUCACCCCCCCAAAAAUACUAUCAUAUCUCUAUGCAAAAUUUCAGUAUAAUUUCACUAUCUAUCCCCCUACCCCACCUAAUUUGGUCCCUAAGUGCUCCUUAGGUAUUCCUACUUCUUACAGUUGUUUUGUUCCCCAACCAGAGCAAUGAAUGAUGACUAGAUAAAAUGUGGGAGGUGGACAGUCACCUGCAUGGCAUAUCCUCUCUGUGUUCACUCACGUCCCUAACCUCACUGGAUUUCAUAUGACAAAAUGAAUACAGAAAGCAGCCUGUGAAGGAAGAACAAGCCACAUAAAGGCAAAUUUUGUGAACAAUAAUAGCAUUCAGUGUUUAUUUAACACUCACUUUAUGCCAGUUACUAUUCUAUUUGCUUUUGUACAUUAUGGCACUAAUCCUUAGCUUAUUUAAUUCACAUUUUCACCCAUAGUAAGUGAAGGAGCCAAAAUCUGAGUCUAGGUAGUCUGACCUUGCAGCCAUAUUCUAAUACCUGGAGAGCAAGCCCUUUAUCAUCCCAUCACUUACUUUCUCUAGUACCUCAAAGUGAGUCCAGAACAGCUGACCUGAUUUGUAAUAUGUUAACGGAGCAUCAGCUUUAUGUGAGGGGAUGCUUUUGGAUCCCUUUCUCUCAAUGCUUUCAAUUUCACUGAUUAUGUGAUAUUUAAAAGAGAGUCAGUGCUGGUGAAAAUUAGUUGUGUGUAGAAGACAGAAAAGUUUCUCUUGAAUGCAUUACAAAGUUAAAAUUGUUUACUUGCCAAUUUUAUACACCAAGAAUUCAAAGAGGAGACCAUUUUGAAAACCAAAAGCUCUGUGAUGGUUAUGAAUUACUUUGAAAAUAUGGAAUAGCUUUAUGUAUACCUUCACCUUGCCCUCCAGCUGCCAGUGAAUUUAGAUGAGGAGCUUCUUGGGGACAGAGAUGCACUCUCUGCUCCAUGGUGGACCAGUUUAUCAACAUGAAAUUAAUUUCAUCUAUUCCUGUUCAUUUAAUGGGGAGACUAAGAAUAAGAAAUAAUCUCUGCAGACUUCCAGAGGUAAGAUGCUGCUGAAUGUUUGAUUUUUUUUCACAAAAACUAAUAAAUGGGGGUGCCUAAAAUUAAUACACAGUGUUCAACACAGAAGCUUGAAGACACCUUUGAUAAGCAGAGGCUGAUUUACUAAAAGCAAACAAAGCUGGGAAACAAAAGCCUGGGUUUCUCUGCCCUGUUAAAUAGUUAUAUUUUGAAAGAAGCAACCACAACUGAUAAAACUUUUUUUUUUUUUAAUCUAUAGGGAAAAGACAUCUGAUACCAACUAUCCUCAGCUUUCUGCUCUUUUGAGUUCAUUUUCCAAAUCUAUACCCUAAGACAGCUGAGAAUACAGUAGAAAAAUGUAUCCAGGGAAGAAAUAAGUGCAUUGGGGAAUUGAAUGAAAAUGAUAAAAAUCACUCACACUUCUUUAUUGAAAUAAUUAAAUAUGAAGUGGAGUGGAGAGUGGCAGAUGAAUUCUAAUAGUAAUUGAAUUGGCACUUAGGAGUUAUCUUAUCUGCAUUGCCACAAUUCAAAACUCCCACAGUGUUUUCUUGCAGUCCACAUCGUAUUAAUUAUGCCUCUCAUCCACCAUGUUGUUGGUGAGCCAAGCAGUUAUCAUGCGUGGAGAGGUGUCUGGCUCUCCUCAAGGGGUUCCGUGGGUAGGGAUUCCACCCCUCACGAAAAUGGCACUGUGCUUCUCUAGUGCGCAAGGAACAGCCAGCACACACCAACAGCCACAGGAGCCCUUCCCAUCCUGUUCUUGAAAUAAACCAAGGUUCUUGUUGGAGGUAAUAGCCAGUCACAGAGAAGGGGCGGGCCUGGAAGUGCGUCACUCUCGCCUCCUGGUGAUGCCCUUGGCCACUGCCAUCUUGCGAGCUUGUCUUUCUUUCUCGGUGUACGAAAAUUUUGGCGCUCAAUUCUCGUCCGUUCUAUCUCCAAAAGUGUUUGGCUGACCACAAGUAAGUGUUCUUAUUCAUGUGUAUCUUCAGGGAUCCCAACUAGGGCAUGUUGUUUGUGCAGAAUACUUGCUGAUAGUCUGUCUGCAUGUGGGUUUUUGUUAUAAAAUGAUUCCUACUGUAAUAUCGUUUUAGUUCAUUUCUUUGUUUCAUUUUGUAGAGAAGAGACCAUAAUUAUGCCAAGUUUAACAGCCAAUCAAAUUAUUCAUCAUUGUCAUCCUUUCUUUUUGGUUAGGGAACUGUGAUGAAAGAUGAUUUUGACAGUAUAUAGGUUCUUUCCAGUUUUGACUCUAUAUACCAUUUUUUUUUUUCUUCUUUUGAUUUAGGAUUAUCCAGUGGGAAGACUGGAUUUGAGGAGUUAGGAUUUUGCUGGCUGGAAUCCUUUCUUUCUUGUUCUGCUUUAACAGAUCCAGCCAGAAAAGGCGGGGAGAGGUGAGGUAUUAACUACAUUUAACCUUCAGUUAGUAAAUGAAUAUCUACGGGGAAAAAAAAAAAAAAAAA